This 8726-nucleotide unclassified non-coding RNA is filed under the name Stegodyphus dumicola. Its description in RNAcentral is "eLMO domain-containing protein 3-like, transcript variant X1". The record is from RNAcentral. Lineage: Eukaryota; Metazoa; Arthropoda; Arachnida; Araneae; Eresidae.
CUGUAAACGGUUCAAAGCUGCUACUCGCUGAUUUAAAGUUGUGAAAAAAUCUUCACCACGUGGUAGGAUAUCUGAAAUGAUAACAUUGAUAUUCGGGUUCAAAGUUUAAUAUCCUUAGAGAGGCAAUCGUACUUUUUAAGAAUAACUUCAACAUUGUCAUUCGAAUUGUUGGUACCAACAUGUACCAAAAUCAAAUGGUAUCGAUUGUCCAAAAAGGAUUUAACCUUUCUAUCAUUGCACCAGGAAAAGAAUGUAAAUCUACUUCAUAAUUCAGAAGAUUCGCAGGUAAAUAUUCAUCCAAAUAUUUAACCAUUGAAUCUCCAAUUAUAAGCAAUUUCAUCUUUUUUGGUUGCAUAUCGGCAAAACAAACACAACUACAAAUCGAAACACAGAUCAAUAAUUUGGUAAUAUAUACUGUAAAUAAAAUGCAACUAUAAAUUAAAUGAAAAUCAAAUCAAACACUAAUCAUAAAUAUAACAAAAUACAAAUAAUUAUUAAUAGAAAAAAAAAAGUAAAUAGCUCAAGUAAUGCGAGAAAAAUGGCGCAAAAAAUACACACCUCACUCGCGCUAAUAUUAACACGUGAACUAAAUUCGCGCCAAUUCUUCAGCUUGCGGAAAAAUUUACGGAAAAAAAAAUAACGCCAAAUGCUCGCCAAGCUUUGUUGCCAACAGAGAUAUCAAAGGUACAUAUCCGGUGAUGACGUAGAACACACUUCCGGGUUCCGAUUUGCGGAAUUCUGUAAAACUCAGCUUCGAGCAAUGUAGAGGUGAGACAGACUGGUUGCUAUGCAAUAAACGUCACUUCCGCACGGAAUCUCCACUUCAUUUUCCGCCGACGGAAUUUGAAGGGGUCAGACUCGCUCUCCCAUUCGCUGUCGAGUGGAAAGAGAAUCCCGACUGGUUUUCCGAUAUCGAUCUCGACAGGUGUCCAGACUAGACCCCUUAGUUACGGGUUGUGUUACUUAGGAAGGAAGUAAAAAUACGCUUCCAGACUAGGCGAUAAGCUUGAAUUUUCGACCUGCGGGCAGAAAGACGUAGCGGGUGCAAAGUGAGAUAUCUUUGUUGUUUGUUUUCGUAAAAUCAUAAAACAUGUUGGAAAGCAUGCAGACUUAAUAACUUCUUUCUAAUUUGAGAAAGAUAAAAUACGCAUGAGAUACAAAUUAUAUUUACUUAUUUAAGUAAUUAUCUACAUGAAAUAGGAGGAUAUAUAAUUAUAUACAAUUAUUACCAUAUGAAUUACGAUUCAAAUGUAACAUUAUUAUUUAAGGUUAAUUUAAAACUACUAAAAAUUUCAGCUGAUUGAAAUCGACUUUGAAUGCUCUCACUUCUGUAUAUAAGUCUAAAAGGGAGCUAGCUGUAAAAUGAUUCUUGAUGCUAUUUACGAAGUAGAUGAACAAAGUGAUUGCCCAGAUAACAAGAGGGUAUCUGUUAACAAUAAGCCUGCUAUUUUUAAGCAUAAAGAUAAUGUUGAUAUUAGUCAAGCCAAAAAAGAAAUUGAAAUUGCAAAGGAAGAAUGGGAUCAAGUUGGAUCAACACCUAAAGCAAUUUUACCUGUUCAUCUUCAGAGUGUACCAGUUUCAUGCGAUGAAGUGUUGAAUUAUUUUCGUUCAAAGAACAUGAGCCAAUAUUUGAAAUGCAUAAAACCUGUAAAACAAAGAAAGGGUUUAGAAGCUUUAAAACACUGGAUUAUUGGACCACCAAAGUUACAUAGCAGUUUGGUAUCUGAGAGAAACUUAUUAUUUGCUAUUGCAAUGUGUCCUUUUGAUACAAGUGAUGAGAUUCAUAUGAGAGUUCUGCAAACUUUGUACAAAUCUUUGACUGGAGCUGAGAAAGAUUGUCCUCGUUAUGGGAAACAUUGGGAAGAUGUUGGUUUCCAAGGUAUUGAUCCUGGAACUGAUCUGAGAGGGGUUGGUUUUCUGGGACUUAUUCAUUUACUUUCAAUGAUUCUGAACCCAGCUACUGCUGAACUUGCUAAAGAAAUUUCUACUGUAUCAAAAACUGAGAAACAGAAUUUUCCCUUUUGCACCAUGGGAAUCAAUAUAACAAGAAUAGUUCUAGAAACAAUGCGAGAGGAAGUUCUUAACAGGGAAUGCAAUAGGAAAAUGGAUGUUUUUCAAGUUACCAAUGAUUUUUAUGCUGGUGUAUUCCUUCAUUUGCAUUUUAUUUGGUGUGAACAGAAUAAGACAAUCAUGGACUCAGGAUAUGUAAUAAAAGAUUUAAAUACUUUCGCAAAGAAACACUCAGCUGUGAUAUUUAGGGAAUUAUUCAGUUACAUUAAAGAGAAAAAAAUUCCUGCCAAAAAGUCUGCUGCAGUUGUAGACUUUUCUAAUAUCGGUGAUAUCACAGGUUUUGUAAAAACUUGAUCAUGAUUUUCUAUCAUUUUUGCUUCAUUUGUAAUCUAAAAAAAAAGAUAUUUUUGCACUUUCCUAUUGAAGGCCAAAUGAAGUUAUAAAUGAUACAGAAAUCUGCUGUGGUUUAGUGGUUGUGUGAACUAAGAUGCAUUAAAUAAAAAAUUUCAUUUGAUAUGAAACACAGUAAUGGGGACAUGAAGCAUCCAUUUGUAACCAUAAAUAACAGAAAAUAAAUUGCAUUUGAUGCCUGUUCCUAAAAUUCUAAAAAUAUUUUGAAUUAUUUAUAUUGAAGGCCUACAAUUUGCUGUAUUAUUUAUUCUUUCUUAUAUAUCAUUUUACUUCAACUUUGUCCUAGGAUUUUAUUUUGAUUUAUGGUAGGUUGGUUAUUAAAUGAAAUUUCAUUUAAAUGAAUCAGUAAAAAUCAGUUGAAGAAAAUGAUAAGCUAAGUUUUAAAAUUGAUAUUCUAAUCAUAAUUAUUUAGUUAUUUUAAUGUAAUGUAAAAUUAAACUGAAGACAUGUACAUACGUGCUUUGUUGGGAAAAUUUUCUAGAGUAAAACUAAUUUGUUUUCUAGUGCAAUAAAUGUACAGUAAAGCAAGCUUGUUGACUUGAAUUGCUAGUUUUACUUUAUUAGGUUGUCCCAAAAUUUUAUUUCAUUUUAUUUGUAAGUAAAACAUCCAUAGUAUUGUAUGUUUUAAUGAAACAGUUAUAUGCAAUAGGUUUUGCUCUGUUAUAUUCUUUCAUCUUUCCAGAAGCUGCCAGGAAUGCUAUCUUUCCAAAAUUUUGUCAUUUGCUUGCAAUUCCAAAUAUACUUUUAUGUCAUUGACAUAUACUUUUUAUUGCAAAGAUAAUUAUAUAUUCUAAAUAAUUUUCUUCAGUAAAUAUUCCCUUCAUAUAAAUAAUAUUAUUUUUAAUGCACCAUUUCAAUUACAUUUUAUGUCAUUUACUGAUCUAACAUUUUAUUGCAAAUUGAAUUAUAUAAUGAAAGAAACAGAUAUUAGUUACAUGGGGCAAUAUUCCAAGAAUAUGGAGUUCGAGAUAGAACUUGUCAAAUGUUAACAAUUUGUUUCUAAUGGCUAAUGACAUAUGGAGCCUGAUAUUGUGGCACUUCAUCUGUGCAUUAUUGCCAUCAUUUUUAACUGAUUGUUUCUUUUAGUUUUCUGGGUUGGAAACAGCAUUUCACUGAAUUUGUUCAUCUCAUGGAAGCAUUUUAUCAUGUAUGAUGCCUUUCUGAUCCUUCCAAGUUUACAAGAAAAUUUUGUGUGAAGUUUGAUGCUUCCAAAGUUUGAUGUUUCCAAAGACUUAUCAUAUCUGUAUCCAAAGUGUUUAUGGUUAAAAUUUUUAUAGUGGGUUCUAGUUUUAUCUCCAAUUACUGAUCUCUUCAAGAAUUACUCUUGUCUGAAUUUGCUGAAAAAUCAACUACUCAUAUGGGGAAAUAUAAAGAGUUUAUUCUCUGCAGUAUGAUGGAGAAUUUAUAUUUCUGAGUGAUUGAUACAGCUGAGCCUUUUUCAUUUGAUUGUGUAUUGAUGUCACAUAAUAUUUCAUGCAUCAUCUGAUUCAUGAAAAUACCUGUAUUUGUAGUCAAUGAGUAGCCACUGAAGUCUUUAUCCUCCAGGUUAAAAUUCCUAGCUUGAGAUUUCUUAAAACAAGUAGGAAUUAUUUGAAUACUUAUAGCAUCACUUUCAUAAACUAUGCAAAUUUUAUUUUCAGUAUUUUUUCACUGUAUCAUUCACCAUUUUUACAGUAUGUACUUUGUUAUAUGUUUUGAUUUCUCAUGAUUCUAGCCUCAUUAUUUAUGUAUUCUUUUAGCUGUGAAUGCUUAAAAGCUUCAUGUCUCAAACUACAUUAAAUUACUCAGGGUUAUAAAAAUAAAUAGAUAGGAAAACAUGACACUGUGAAUACCUUGCAGACUUUCUGUAUGUUUUUGAUUUAUUGCCAUUUAAUCAAAGCCUGAGCAGUACAUUCAUUUCAAAAUGAAUCUGCUCAUCUUGUGGUUGAUAAACAGUGCAAAUUCAUAAUAAGUUGAUAUAAACUCCGUCCAUGCAUUACUUAUCAAGGAAAAAUCAUGCAAAAAUAUUAUUUUUUUAGAUAUAUAAUUAUAUUUUCUAGAAAUUCAUCAUUCUUUGUUAACUUAAUUACAAGUCACAUGGUGCAUAAAAUAAACAUAAAUGUUUGAAACUACUAUUUAGACAAUAUUUUUGUGAAUUAUAAUUGUGCACUAAAUUAAAAAAAAAUGUAAUAUGCUUUAUUGUACAGUUUAUUUAACAUUUAAAAUUUGUUUAAUUAAAAUGAAAGCUUUUAAAAUUUUUUUAACAAUAAUUCUUAUUUUUAGUAAAAAUAAUAAAAAAUAACCAAACCUGCAAAAAUAUAUAUUGUCUAUGAAGGAUAUAUAAAAUAGGUUUAGUAAUCUUAACUAUUAAUAAUUUAUAUUGCUGUAUGAAUAUGUUAGUGCUUAUGGAAAAUAUUUGAGUGGAAUGUAAUAUAAGUAAAAAUUUGAAAAUUGGCACAUUUAUAUACUUUUUAUAUGAAAUAAAUUUGCUGCCCAUGUGCUUAUGAAAUUUUAUAUUUAAAUAAAUGCUUUACGUUUUGAUCUGUUGAUAUUUAUUAUGUAGAAUUUUUUGUAAAAUGUGACUGAAAUAAACAGUAGCAGAUAAUGUGUUUAGAAAGUUCCUAUUUUAUACUUUAAUAUAACCUUUGAUCAAUUGAAUUAUAAUUAAUCAAGACUAUUUCUGAAUGGUUGGUAUAUUGUUAUAAAUUAUGUGUUUAGUUACAGGUAAUUAAUAACAUAUUUUAUUUUUUUGUAUUUAUUAAAUGAUACAAAAUCAGUCAUUAUAUGUUGGCCAUGUUUUAUAUUCUUAUUUUCAAAUUAAUUUUUUUAGUCUUUUUAUGUGAAUUUAUGUGUAUUUUCACAUUUUAUGAUUGCUCAAUUUUUUAAAAGUAUAUUUUUGUGUCAUUUGCUCAUAUAAAAGUUGCUCUACCUCUAUGUAGGGAAAUGUUUAGCGUAAUAGCAAUGCCUUUUUACAGCAGUUUUCAAAAUUCAUAUGUGCAAUACUAGUUAUUUCAUAUUAGCAUAUUAUUAUUUGUGCUUAGUAUUUUAAUCUCCUAUAUAAGCAUCACUCUGAAAUUUUGAUAUACACAUAGACUUUUAAUGUUUUAAACUUAUGAAAUUUUAAAACUGUUUAAAGUAGUCUCUUCCAGCAUCAAUGCAUUCCAACAAUGAAUGCUGACUUCUACUACUUAUGUUGAUAAAGUGAAGAACUGGCAUUUAAACAACUAUCACUGAUCAAUUUCCAAAGCGUUAUCUAACAUCAUGAUGGCAUCAGAUAUUAUGCUGUUUUAAGUACUUGACAAAAUUUACUGGUACUUGAAUUGGGAAGUAUUAACCUACGAGUAUAUGCUAGGCAAAUUUUUCAAAGAUUAAAUGCCUCAGAUCAUUCGUUUCGUGAAAUCAAUGAAAAAAAUGCAUUUUUAGCCUCAGCAAUUUCAUCUUCAGAAUUCACAUAAGCUCAUUUUUGCAUUAAAAAAUAGCCAAAAGUCGCACAUAGCUAGCUUGGGUGAAUAGGGUGGAUGUUCUAUCACUGGUGAUCUUGCUAAAUGAGAAGAUGCAUUGUCAUAGCGGAGCAUGAUUCCUUUAACAUUCACUACUUGAAGAAUUCCUGGAAGAUACUUAGUGGUGUACCAGUUAGCUGUGACUGUCUUCUGUCCUUUCAGCUUGAUGGCUUUGACCAGUCCUGUAUUUCUGAAAAAAUGGCAUACAUUUCUUUUUCCAUGGCACAUUGUCUUUUCACCAACCACUAUGGCCAUGGGAUCAUCUUCUAAGACCCAUACUUUAUUUUCUUGAUAUAUUGGAACAUCAAAAAAUGACAUCAUCACCAGUUACGAUUUUUGAAAUAAUACGGUGGCCACCAUCUUUAAGUAAUUUAAGGGUUUCUUUACUGAUUCUAAUAUGGUUCUCUUUUUGUUGCUCAGUUAAAUUAUGGGAAACCUGAGGCAAACUAGUUUUUUCAUAUGCAGUUCUUCAUGAAUAAUUUUAUGUAUGGUGGUGUAUCCCAUGUUAAGUUCCUUCUGAUUUAGUAUGUGCCUUGAUUAAAGUUUUUCCAUAUAGCAGACACAUUAUCUGGGAUUACUGCUGACAACAGCAUUCCUGUGUGUUCUUCAUCCUAAAGACAGUUACAACCUUUGAGAAAUUCAAUAAAAUAUCUGAAUGCAGUAGCAUGAGAUAGACCUUCAUUCCAAAAUGUUAAUUUAAUUGUAGAUGUUGAACACAUUCUUCUUGAUUUCAUCCCACAUUAAAAUCAUAGAAAAUCGCAGCAUGAUGAUGUUCUCGCAUCAACUCCAUUUUUCCUUCUGCCUAAAAUUUAUUCUUUGCUGAGCUCCUUGCAACUGGAUGAUAAAAAAUCAUUUGCUAGGCUAAAAUAGUUCAUAUUUUCAAAUAUAACCAUUAACUUUUUUCUUCCAUUUAUUGUCAGUGUGUCUCUCAAAAAUUUUAAAGUAACCUACUUAUCUAUAAAUAUAACCUCUAUUUUUAACUUCUUACAUUUAUAUCUAUAAACAUUAUUAUUCAAUUAUAUGCAAAUGCUUUUUCUUGGCAUUUUCGCUUUCAUCUGUGUUGCAAUGGAUUAUACCUUAAUGUACAAAUGAUACUUAUCAUAUCCACAUUAUGUUUUUAAUAUGCAUUGAAACUUAUUUUUUUUCAGUUUUAAAUGCAAAUGAAGUUAAGUAGCCUACAUACAAGAUAUAUCAUCUUGUGUAGAAUAUUUUUUUCCCUGCUUUCUUUCUCUCCCCCCCCCCAUUUCAUUAAAAUUUUUAACUAAAAGGGUUAUGAAUUAAUUUAGUAUAACUUUUCUGACUGAAAUGAAACGUUACUGUGUGUGUAAAAUAAUAUAUUUACUUUAUCAACUACUGCUAACAUAUUAAUAUAUAUUUAUAUUAACUAUACUACUUAUAACUAGAUUUUAGUGUGAUAAAAUAUUAACUUUUUGAACAAUUUUUGUACGAUUUAGUUUUUAAUUUCAUAUUCUUUAUUUUUUAAAUACCUUUUGAAGUUUUUUCUAAUUAUCUGAGUGACAUACUUUUUAGAUCUGCUCAUGAAAAGCUGUUCAUAUACAGAAUUAUUCAUUUACAUUUUUAGAUGUUUCUUUAUUCUUCUGCCAUGUAAUUUAGAAUAACUAUUUGCAUAGGAUUUUUCAUAAAAUACUGGCAUGCAUAUAGCAGUGAAAAUUUAUUAACUUUCAUGUAAACUAAUUUGAAUUUGUACAAAAAUUAAAUUAUGGACAGACAUGUAACGAACAUGCAAAUAAGGAUUUGGUGUUAGUAGAUAUUAUUACAUAUUUUAACAUCAUGCAUUCUGUCUUUAUCAGUUAAGUGACAAAAGGUGUAAUUUGUGUAUUUAUUAAAUUAUGUGAAAUUUCUUGAUUGAAAGUUAUUGUUUUGCAAAGCUGAAGAAACAUAACCUUUACAUGUUACUAAGGAUGGCUUCUCAUAUGUUAUACAUUUUUUAAAAACACUAUUCUCAUUUCUGAUUGAAAAAAAUAUUUUCUUGAAGUUACCUUAUAAAAAGGUAACAUAUUGAAUGAAAUCAGGUAUCAGAAUUUUAUAUAUUUUAAAACUUUUCACAUUAAAAAUUUCCAUAUUAAAAAUAAAUAGAUAUUUAUUAAAUGUUGGUUGUGUAAGCGUUUGACAUGCUGAUGAUAAAGCUUGUAUUUAGCUAAGUAUCGAAUAUGAAUAUUAGAUCAGAAUUAUAUUCUAUGAUAUCAAUUCUAUUAAGCAACAUAAUGGCUACUUUUGUAUGAAUUAACAUAAAAAAUUAAUUCCUCAUAGCCAAAAAAUUUAUUUCAGCAACCGAAUCUAAUUUAGCAAAUGUGAAAAAAAAUUCCUUCAAAUUUCAUUCUUUGAUAUUUGGAUUGUUAAUUCAAAAUUUCUAUUAUCAUAAAGAUUACUCUGACAUUAGGCUGCCUUUCUAAAUUUGAACCAAUGAAAGAAAAGAAAUUUUAAAAGCUUGUGCAAUUCUUUACAAUUAUACUGCAGUUCAAAUAACAAAUUCAGUGUAUUUUCACUGAAAUAACUCAAAACAUUCCAUUUAUGUUAUUACUGUGCAUGAAUUUUUUUUUUCCAUGUUUAGUGUUUAAUAGUUUGGAAUAUUUAUAUUCUAUCUGAAAGUUUGUGUGUAAGCCAUAAAAAUUUCAUUUGAAUAUGUAUUUAUGUAAAACAAUCUGUACAUGUUUCUAAAAACAGAAUAAUGCAUUUUAUGUUCUUUGCCAAAUGUAAUGUGAUCAAGAAAUACUGUUUUAUAUUUCACAUGGAUGUAUGUAAUUGUGCAAAUUUUUUCAAUUUCUUAAGUUAUAUAAUGCAAUAAUAAAGUAAUAGAAAAGAAAA